AAAAAAUAUAGGCAAAGAGACAGGUCAUCUGCAUAAUUAGGAAAGUAGGUAGAAAGCUCCACCCCUUCAUCUUCCUCAAACGAAAUAACCGUAGAUUUGAUCUACUGUUAACUUGGUUUGGAAAAAUCCUCCUCCGCUUCGAUGUUCAUCCUCAACUAUCAGCUCAAAGCUCCAUCUCUAAGCUAAGUGUCGAAUCCUUCGUGAUUAAUUGUUCUUCCUCUUUUCAUUAGAUCGAUGGAAUGAACUUCUAAGAAGCUAAUACCACCAUCAUAUCAAAAGAAUCGAUUUAGAAACAAUAAAACCUGUCCUUAUGAUGCCAACAGGUUUCCAUGUCUUAAUAGUUAGAGCUACAUAUCAGAAUCGGUGGAUCUAUUGUUUGGAUACUCGUACCAUUAACACCCCAAGGUCUCACUGGGUGUAGGUGUUUGCAUCCAAAGAAAUCACUUCUAACAAUAGCAAACUUUGUAAACAUGGUCAAUGUUCUACAUCCCUAUUCAAACCAUCUGCAACAUUUUCCAGAUUUACUAACAGAAACACUAAGAUCACAAACUACCAGAUGUUGAUGCCCAUAAACAGGUGCUUCCAACAUCUAUAGACUUUGUUCACCCCCUGAGUUGGCAGGAGAUGUAAGGAUGCAAUCAUUACUAUGUUCUUUUGCUAUUUGUAUUUUUCUCCAUUGUUUACCGCCGAUUUCCUUUGAUUUUCAU
Molecule: long non-coding RNA, 707 nt
Organism: Solanum tuberosum (potato)
Lineage: Eukaryota; Viridiplantae; Streptophyta; Magnoliopsida; Solanales; Solanaceae
Exons: 4
Source: RefSeq, a predicted model, not a curated record